GACGAACGCUGGCGGCGUGCUUAACACAUGCAAGUCGAACGCUGAAGCUUGGUGCUUGCCCUGGGUGGAUGAGUGGCGAACGGGUGAGUAAUACGUGAGUAACCUGCCCUUGACUUUGGGAUAAGCCUGGGAAACUGGGUCUAAUACUGGAUAUGACAUGCCACUGCAUGGUGGUGUGUGGAAAGGGUUUUACUGGUUUUGGAUGGGCUCACGGCCUAUCAGCUUGUUGGUGGGGUAAUGGCCUACCAAGGCGACGACGGGUAGCCGGCCUGAGAGGGUGACCGGCCACACUGGGACUGAGACACGGCCCAGACUCCUACGGGAGGCAGCAGUGGGGAAUAUUGCACAAUGGGCGGAAGCCUGAUGCAGCGACGCCGCGUGAGGGAUGACGGCCUUCGGGUUGUAAACCUCUUUCAGCACGGAAGAAGCGAGAGUGACGGUACGUGCAGAAGAAGCGCCGGCUAACUACGUG
This 472-nucleotide ribosomal RNA is filed under the name uncultured bacterium. RNAcentral describes it as "partial 16S ribosomal RNA". It matches the Rfam family "Bacterial small subunit ribosomal RNA", at positions 28 to 507 of the family's 1533-position model. The record is from RNAcentral.